This is a non-coding RNA of Pelobates cultripes (western spadefoot toad), 315 nucleotides long. NCBI's taxonomy places the organism in Eukaryota, Metazoa, Chordata, Amphibia, Anura, Pelobatidae. The record is from the annotation of a GenBank genome assembly.
UUUGUGUUCAGCGAUGUCUCCCGAGUAAAACAGUACCCCCCAUGUACAGGUUUUAUAGCAUUUUUGAAAGUUACAAGGUCAAAUAUAUGGGUCAAAUAUUUUUACAUUGAAAAUGGCCUGGUUGGUUACUAGAGAUGUCGCGAACGAUUUAGUUUUUUUACUUUUUUCACACACAAACAAAUAUGAAUGCUUACUUUGGCCAGUGUUUUCGACUAAGUGGCUACUAAAAAAGACUGGACAUACCCCAUAUUGAAUACCCUGGGUUGUCUACUUUAAAAAAAAUAUGUACAUGUGGGGUGUUAUUCAGAGAUUUAU